AUGGCCUGCACCCCUCUCCUGCUGCCCCUCCUCACUCUCUGCACAGGCUCCGCGGUCUCCUAUGAACUGACCCAGCCAACUUCACCAACUUCAGUGUCAGUGGCCUUGGGACAGACGGCCAAGAUCACCUGCUCGGGGGACCUCCUGGAUAAAAAAUAUACUGCGUGGUACCAGCAGAAACCAGGCCAGGCCCCUGUGACGGUCAUUUAUAAAGAUAGUGAGCGGCCCUCGGGGAUCCCUGACCGGUUCUCUGGCUCCAGCUCAGGCAAAACAGCCACCUUGACCAUCACCAGUGCCCAGACCGAGGAUGAGGCCGACUAUCACUGUCUGUCAGCGGACAGCAGUGAUGAUCCUCACGGUGACACGGACAGACAGGGAAGCGGGCUCUGCAUGGGGGGGUCCUCAGUGGACGAUGAGCUGGCAGAAGGGGGUGAUGGUUUCCUGGAUCAGAGCUCCUGA
Odocoileus virginianus texanus is the source of this 459-nucleotide non-coding RNA. Lineage: Eukaryota; Metazoa; Chordata; Mammalia; Artiodactyla; Cervidae. The record is from the annotation of a RefSeq genome assembly.